GAAGUUGGAUUCGCUAGUAAUCGCGCAUCAGCCAUGGCGCGGUGAAUACGUUCCCGGGCCUUGUACACACCGCCCGUCAAGCCAUGGGAGCCGGGGGUGCCUGAAGUUCGUGACCGAAAGGAGCGACCUAGGGCAAAACCGAUGACUGGGGCUAAGUCGUAACAAGGUAAC
Molecule: ribosomal RNA, 171 nt
Filed under: uncultured bacterium
Lineage: Bacteria
Description: partial 16S ribosomal RNA
Rfam family: Bacterial small subunit ribosomal RNA
Source: RNAcentral